RNAcentral lists this ribosomal RNA (460 nucleotides) under uncultured bacterium. RNAcentral describes it as "partial 16S ribosomal RNA". It matches the Rfam family "Bacterial small subunit ribosomal RNA", at positions 338 to 795 of the family's 1533-position model. The record is from RNAcentral.
CCUACGGGUGGCAGCAGUGAGGAAUAUUGGUCAAUGGGCGAGAGCCUGAACCAGCCAAGUCGCGUGAAGGAUGAAGGAUCUAUGGUUUGUCACCUUCUUUUAUAUGGGCAUACAGUGAGUAACGUGUUCCUUUUUGUAUUUACCCUAUUACUAAGCAUCUGCUAACUCCGUGCCAGCCGCCGCGGUAAUACGGAGGAUGCGAGCGUUAUCCGGAUUUAUUGAGUUUAAAGGGUACGUAGUUGGUUAAUUAAGUCAGCGGUUAAAGUUUGUGGCUCAACCAUAAAAUUGCCGUUGAAACUGGUUGACUUGAGUAUAUUUGAGGUAGGCGGAAUGCGUGGUGUAGCGGUGAAAUGAAUAGAUAGCACGAAGAACUCCGAUUGCGAAGGCAGCUUACUAAACUAUAACUGACACUGAUGCACGAAAGCGUGGGGAUCAAACAGGAUUAGAUACCCCUGUAGUC